This 484-nucleotide ribosomal RNA is filed under the name uncultured bacterium. RNAcentral describes it as "partial 16S ribosomal RNA". It matches the Rfam family "Bacterial small subunit ribosomal RNA", at positions 30 to 507 of the family's 1533-position model. The record is from RNAcentral.
AUUGAACGCUGGCGGCAGGCCUAACACAUGCAAGUCGAGCGGAUGAAGGGAGCUUGCUCCUGGAUUCAGCGGCGGACGGGUGAGUAAUGCCUAGGAAUCUGCCUUGUAGUUGGGGAUAACGUCCGGAAACGGGCGCUAAUACCGCAUACGUCCUGAGGGAGAAAGUGGGGGAUCUUCGGACCUCACGCUAUCAGAUGAGCCUAGGUCGGAUUAGCUAGUUGGUGGGGUAAAGGCCUACCAAGGCGACGAUCCGUAACUGGUCUGAGAGGAUGAUCAGUCACACUGGAACUGAGACACGGUCCAGACUCCUACGGGAGGCAGCAGUGGGGAAUAUUGGACAAUGGGCGAAGGCCUGAUCCAGCCAUGCCGCGUGUGUGAAGAAGGUCUUCGGAUUGUAAAGCACUUUAAGUUGGGAGGAAGGGCAGUAAGUUAAUACCUUGCUGUUUUGACGUUACCAACAGAAUAAGCACCGGCUAACUUCGUG